GACAGAGGUCCCGAGCGUUAGGCGGAAUCACUGGGCUUAAAGCGUGUGUAGGCGGAGUGCUAAGUACCUUGUGAAAUCCCACCGGCUCAACCGUGGAACUGCUCGGUAUACUGGUUCUCUUGAGCCACUUAGGGGCAACCGGAACAAACGGUGGAGCGGUGAAAUGCGUAGAUAUCGUUUGGAACGCCAAUGGUGAAAACAGGUUGCUGGGGGUGUGCUGACGCUGAGACACGAAAGCCAGGGGAGCAAACGGG
RNAcentral lists this ribosomal RNA (254 nucleotides) under uncultured bacterium. RNAcentral's name for it is "partial 16S ribosomal RNA". It matches the Rfam family "Bacterial small subunit ribosomal RNA", at positions 524 to 776 of the family's 1533-position model. The record is from RNAcentral.